Molecule: long non-coding RNA, 648 nt
Organism: Neofelis nebulosa (Clouded leopard)
Lineage: Eukaryota; Metazoa; Chordata; Mammalia; Carnivora; Felidae
Exons: 2
Source: RefSeq, a predicted model, not a curated record
UCCCCACCAGAUGAAGGACAGAGAAGCGACCGUCUCUGAGCAGGUGUAUAUUCCACAAUAUAAACCAGGAUGUAGAGGAUUAUAUAGAUUAACCCUAUUGUUAAUUGUUAGUGAGAAUGAAGUUGCUCUCAACCUCAACCAGGGUCUACUCUGGACUAUUCUCCUCCCCGGGAGAGACCUGGCAAUAUUUGGAAACGUUUUUGGUUGUCACAGCCGCUAGGGAGGGAGCAACUGUUGCUACUGCUAUCUGGUGAAUUGGACCCGGGAGGCUGCUAAGUAUCUGCAACACGCAGGACAGCCCCACAAUAAAGAACAAUCCAGCCCCAAACGUCGGGACUUUUCGGGUUGGAAAAUCCUGGAUAAAAGACAGAGAGAUAGAGCAUGAGCGUGGGAGAGGCAGAGAGAAGGAGGCACACAAUCCGAAGCAGGCUCCAGACUCUGAGCUGUCAGCACAGAGCCCGAUGCGGGGCUCAAACCCAUCAACUGUGAGAUCAUGACCUGAGCCGAAGUUGGAUGAUGCUUAACCGACUGAGCCACCCAAGUGCCCCAUGCGUGCACACUUUUAAGCCAGCAAGUCUGGCUUAUUUGUUAUAGCAACAAGUAGAAACUAACCAAAUGCCCAAGCCAGACGAUGCAAAUCCCCUGCAA